AUGGCAGCAGUGGGGAAUUUUGGACAAUGGGGGCAACCCUGAUGCAGCGACGCCGCGUGAGCGAUGAAGCCCUUCGGGGUGUAAAGCUCUUUCGACAGGAACGAUUAUGACGGUACCUGGAGAAGAAGCUGCGGCUAACUACGUGCCAGCAGCCGCGGUAAUACGUAGGCAGCAAGCGUUGUUCGGAGUUACUGGGCGUAAAGAGUGUGUAGGCGGUUCGCUAAGUCUGGUGUGAAAUCUCCCGGCUUAACUGGGAGGGUGCGCCGGAAACUGGCGGGCUAGAGUAUGGGAGAGGGAAGCGGAAUUCCUGGUGUAGCGGUGAAAUGCGUAGAUAUCAGGAGGAAUACCGGAGGCGAAGGCGGCUAUCUGGCCCAACACUGACACUCAGACCCGAAAGCGUGGGGAUCAAACAGGAUUAGAUACCCUGGUAGUCCACGCUGUAAACGAUGGACACUUGUUGUUGGAGGUAUUGACCCCUUCAGUGACGAAGCUAACGCGUUAAGUGUCCCGCCUGGGGAGUACGGUCGCAAGAUUAAAACUCAAAGAAAUUGACGGGGGCCCGCACAAGCGGUGGAACAUGUGGUUUAAUUCGAUGCAACGCGAAGAACCUUACCUGGGCUUGACAUGAACUGGAAGGGUGGCAGAAAUGUCCCCGCCCGCAAGGGCCGGUUCACAGGUGCUGCAUGGCUGUCGUCAGCUCGUGUCGUGAGAUGUUGGGUUAAGUCCCGCAACGAGCGCAACCCUUAUCAAUAGUUGCCAGCGGUUCGGCCGGGCACUCUAUUGAGACUGCCGUUGACAAAACGGAGGAAGGUGGGGAUGACGUCAAGUCCUCAUGGCCUUUAUGUCCAGGGCUACACACGUGCUACAAUGGCGAGUACAAAGCGCUGCAAACCUGCAAGGGGGAGCCAAUCGCAAAAAGCUCGUCUCAGUUCGGAUUGGAGUCUGCAACUCGACUCCAUGA
This 961-nucleotide ribosomal RNA is filed under the name uncultured soil bacterium. RNAcentral describes it as "bacterial SSU rRNA". It matches the Rfam family "Bacterial small subunit ribosomal RNA", at positions 345 to 1323 of the family's 1533-position model. The record is from RNAcentral.